RNAcentral lists this long non-coding RNA (5693 nucleotides) under Triticum aestivum (bread wheat). Its description in RNAcentral is "long non-coding RNA (TAES_LNC013362)". Lineage: Eukaryota; Viridiplantae; Streptophyta; Magnoliopsida; Poales; Poaceae. The record is from RNAcentral.
UCGGUUUUUGUUUUGUUCACAUGAUUUGUGUCCUUUGUGUUUUUGUUUUUCCUUUAAGAACCAAGCUAUUAUGAGAUAGCCCUUCAUUUAUUUAUAGAAUACUUCAUGUGCUCCACUUAUAUCUUUUAAGUAUGAUAUUAUAGAAUUGCUCUUUGUGCUUCACUUAAACCUUUUGAGAAUGGUUUUAUAGAAUGCUUCGUGUGCUUCACUUACAUAUUUUGAGCUUGGAUAUUAGUUAUUCUAUAUUAAUUGUGGAAUGCUCCAUGAACUUCACUUAUAUAUUUUGGAGUAUGAAUAAGGCUAUCAUCUAAAGUGGGUUUGGAAGAGUGUCAACUUUAGGAAUUAGUGAUCCCACUAUUCCGAAUGAGAAGAAUUUUGUUUAUGUGGAUAGUAGUAAAAUUUCUAUGCUUAUAGAUCAUGAAAAGAAUGCCUUAUGUGAUGGUUAUAUUGUUGAAUUCAUUCAUGAUGCUACUGAAAACUAUUAUGAGGGAGGAAUAUAUGCUUAUAGGAGUUGCAAUAAUAUCAAGUUUCCUCUCUAUGGGCUUAAAGUUUUGAAGUUAUACUUGUUUUGCCUUCCUAUGCUAGUUGAUUCUUGUUUCUAUAAAUUAUGUGCUCACAAAAUCCCUGGGCAUAGGAAGUGGGUUAUAUUUAAAUAUGCUAGUCAUAUUCUUCAUUAUGCUCUCUUUAUGUUUCAAUUCUUAUCCUUUAUGUGAGCAUCAUUGAAAUCAUCAUGCCUAGCUAAAAGGCACUAAAGAAAAGCGCUUGUUGGGAGACAACCCAAUAGCUACCCUUACUGUUUUUGUGUAUUACAUGAUUAAGCUACUGCAGUAAUCAUGUUUUAUAGCUUGUAUUUCAAUAAAGUGCCAAGUAAGACCUUUGGGAACACUUGGGUGAAAGUUAAUGUGAUCUUGCUGUAAAAAACAGAAACUUUGCGCUCACGGGAUUAGCUACCAAUUUUUACAAAAGAGUGAUUUUGAGUUGAUUCUUUUUGCAGAAGAUUAAUAGACAAAUUCCUCACGUCCACCAAUUUAUUUCAUAAUUGUUGGAGUAGCAGAAGUAUGGUUGCUGUUCAAAUCAUUACAGACUGUUUUGUUUCUGACAGAUUCUGUUUUCAUUGCAUAGUUUGCUUGUUUUCUAGUUUCUAUGGCUAAUAUUUCUCAAUAUAAAUUGUAGAAAUGAUAUGGUACAGUAGGAAUUGUGUGAGAAAAAUUAUGAACCUUGUCUUUGACAGUACCAAAGUGAAUGGUUUACUCCUUAUCAUACUAACCUAUCUCACGAAGUUCCGUUAAGUUUUGUGUGAUUGAAGUUUUCAAGCUUUGGGUGAGACAUCGAUAUGAGGAGAAUAAGGAGUGGAAAGAACCUAAGCGUGGGGAUUCCCAAGGCACACCAAGGUAAUAUUCAAGGAAGACUCAAGCGCCUAAGCUUGGGGAUGCCCCGGAAGGCAUCCCCUUUUUCGUCUUUGAAACUAUCGAUAUACCUUACUCGGAGCUAUAUUUUUAUUCGUCACAUGAUAUGUGUUUUGCUUGGAGCGUAUUUUCAAUUUUACUUGCUGUUUGAAUAAAAUCAUUGGAUCUGAAAUUUUGAAUGAAAAAUAAUCCUCCCAUGGCUAGUUAAUUAUUUGACUACUCAGUGUUCUUCACUUAUAUCUUUUUGGAGUAGUUUGUCAUUUACUCACGUGCUUCACGUAUAUCCUAUGAGUAAAUGGUUGAAUGAAUUGAAUAUCAUAAAUCUGAAUUUAUAUACGUUUCAUAUGCUUAUGAAAUGGGGAGUAAUGACUUCACACGUAAUAAGUAUAGGUAGUAAACUUAUUGAAAGUUAGCAUACGUAAAAUUGGUCACAUGAACAAUUCAUGAAACAAUACUGAAGGAAGAGAGAUUUCACAUAUAAAUAUACUAUCUUGGACAUCUUUUGUAAUUGUGAGCACUCAUUAAAAUAUGACAUGCUAAAAGGUUGAUGUUGGACAAGGAGGACAACGUAAUGGGUUAUGUUUUCUUAUAUCUGAAAUAAAGUAUAUUGUCUUGGAUCAUCCAACAUGCUCAGCUUGCCUUUCCCCCUCAUGCUAGCCAAAUUAUUUGCACCAAGUAAAGAUACUACUUGUGCUUCCGAAUACCCCUUAAACUAGUUAUGCCAAGAGAGUCCACCAUACCUACCUAUGGAUUGAGUAAGAUCCUUCAAGUAAGUUGUCAUCGGUGCAUGCAAUAAAAAUUGCUCUCUAAAUAUGUAUGAUCUAUUAGUGCGAAGAAAAUAAGCUUUAUACGAACUUGUGAUAGGGAAGAAAUAAAAGCGGCGGACUGCAUAAUAAAGGUCUCUAUCACAAGAGGCAAUAUAAAGUGACGUUCUUUAGCAUUAAGAUUUUGUGCAUCCAACCUUAGAAGCACAUGACAACCUCUGCUUCCCUCUGCGAAGGGCCUAUCUUUUACUUUUAUCUUCUACCCUUAUACAAGAGUCAUGGUGAUCAUCACCUUUCCUUUUUACACUUUUUCCUUUGGCAAGCACAUUGUGUUGGAGCGAUCCAGAUAUAUAUAUAUCCACUUGGAUGUAGGUUUUCAUAAAUUAUUAUUGUUGACAUUACCCUUGAGGUAAAAGGUUGGGAGGCGAAACUAUAAGCCCCUAUCUUUCUCUGUGUCCCAUUAAAACUUUGUACCCAUAAAUAUCACAUGAGUGUUAGCAAUUGUGAAAGAUUAAAUGAUAGUUGAGUAUGUGGAGUUUGCUGGAUCAAAGCUCUUAAAUAGACCCUUCCCGAAAAUAAGAAGAAUUGCAAUUGUUUGAUGACUAAGAGCACUGUUUGUUAGUUUUCAAGAAAGUUUAUGAUCUAUACUUUAACAUGUGAAUAGCUUGUUACUUGAUCAUGAAAAGUUUUAUGAAAUGAGCUACUGUUAUGACAUAUAAUGAUGCUAGAAAAGGUGAAUGAAAUUAUCAUUGAUCAAACUUGUGCACCUGCUAGCAUUCACACUUCAUAAAUUAUUUCUUUUAUCAUUUACCUACUCGAGGACGAGUAGGAAUUAAGCUUGGGGAUGCUGAUACGUCUCCAACAUAUCUAUAAUUUAUAGAGUAUUCAUGCUAUUAUAUUAUCCAUCUUAGAUGUUUUAUAUGCAUUUAUAUUCUAUUUUAUAUGAUUUUUGGGACUAGCCUAUUAACCUAGAGCCCAGUGCCAGUUUCUGUUUUUUCCUUCUUUUUGAGUUUUACAUAAAAGGAAUACCAAAUGGAGUCCAAUCGACAUGCCAAUUUUUGUUGAUUUUUUAUGGACCAAAAGAAGCCCCUGGAGAAAAAGAGUUGGGCCAGAAGAGUCCCGGGCUGUCCACGAGGGUGGGGGGCGCGCCCACCCCCCUGGGCGUGGGCCCCUGCCUCGUGGACGACUCGGAGACCCCCUGACGCGAAACCAACGCCAAAAAUUCCUAUAAAUACAGAAACCCCUAGAAAAUAACCUAGAUCGGAAGUUCCGCCACCGCAAGCCUCUGUAGCCACGAGAAAUCAAUCUAGGCCCUCUCUGGCACCCUGCCGGAGGGGGCCAUCAUCACCGGUGGCUAUGGAGGCGGAUCCCGGAGAGGCCAUCAUCGCCAUGAAGGCCAAGGACCAGAGGGAGAACCUCUCCCCAUCUAGGGGGAGGCCAUGGAGGAGGAAGCACAAGGGGGAGAACCUCUCCUCCUCUCUCUCGGUGGCGCCGGAGUGCCAUCGGGAGGGGAAUCAUCGCCGUGGUGAUCGUCUUCAUCAACAUCACCAUCAUCAUCAUCAUCCUCAUCUCUUUUACGCGGUCCACUCUCCCGCACCCCGCUGUAAUCCCUACUUGAACAUGGUGCUUUAUUCCACAUAUUAUGAUCCAAUAAGAGAAAGUAUGUUAGCUUAUGCCUCUCCCUCAUAUGAAAUUGCAAUGACGACUACCGGUCUUGUUAACAAUUGCCUAGGACAAUUCCGCACACCGAUCCAUCAUUAUUCCACACUCGCUAUUUAUAAUAUUUAGUAAUAUAUUCUAACUUUAUGAUAACAGCACCUACUUUUAUGUUUUAGCUCUCCGAUAUCAUGCAAAGUUAUCUUCUUCAUACCCACAACGUACUUUUAUUUCUCAUUUCUAGUUCGAAGCAAACGUUCGGUGUACGUAGAGUCGUAUUUGUGGCAGAUAGGACCUGAGAGAAUAUUGAUCUUACCUUUAGCUCCUUCUGGGUUCGACACUCCAUACUUUUCACUUCCACCAUUGGGAAUUGCUACGAUGAUUCCCUGCACUUGGGGAUUAUCAAGCUCUUUUCUGGGGCCGUUGCCGGGGAGAUAUAGUGUGGGGUUGAUAUUCUCGUGUGUGCUUGUUUGCUUUCUUCACUAAGUUCCUUUUUGUUUCUAUUUAGUUCUGGGUGAAACAUACAAAAAAAUAAGAAUGAAAAUACAAAAAAAUUACUUGCCUUUCAUGACUAAAAAGUUUUUCAAAAAGAGAAGUGAUUGGAAAGUUAUGCAUUGAAGAAGUGAGGGUCGACCUUGAGCACUUGUGUUCAUGCUCACAGAAACAAUGUAGAAUUUUUCGUGGAAGUUUCUCUGUAAAUAAUUAUCCCUUUGUGUAUAUCCACUGUAUUAUAAACAUAAUGUGCCAAGCUUUGGUUUUAGGAUGAUUAGAUUGCUUGUUUACUAUGUGCAGAACAAAAACAGAAACUUUGGCUGUAGCGCGUGAUUUUACAUUUUUUACUGGAAGGUCAAAUGGGUCUGAAACUUUUUGCACGUUACUUCUGUACAAAUUUUUCAAGUUUUCAAAUUUAUUUCAUAAUUUUGGGAGUUACAGAAGUUUAAUGAACUUCCAUAUUACUACAGACUGUCCUGUUUUUGACAGAUUCUGUUUUCCGCGUGUUGUUUGCUUAUUUUGAUGAAUCUAUGGCUAGUAUCGGGGGGUAUGAACCAUAGAGAAGUUGGAAUAAAGUAGGUUUAACACCAAUAUAAAUAAAGAAUGAGUUCAUUAUAGUACCUUAAAGUGGUAGUUUGCUUUAUUACACUAACGGAUCUCACAAAGUUUUUGUUAAAGUUUUGUGUGGAUGAAGUGUUCGAAGAUCGAGGAACAAUCAAUGUGAGAAGAAUAAAGAGAGGCGAGAGUUCAAGAUUGGGGAUGCCCAAGGCACCCCAAGUAUAUAUUUCAAAGGAUACUCAAGCAUCUAAGCUUGGGGAUCCCCCGGUUGGCAUCCCAUCUUUCUUCUUCAACAAAUAUCAGUAUACCUCGGUUUUUGUUUUGUUCACAUGAUUUGUGUCCUUUGUGUUUUUGUUUUUCCUUUAAGAACCAAGCUAUUAUGAGAUAGCCCUUCAUUUAUUUAUAGAAUACUUCAUGUGAUUCACUUAUAUCUUUUAAGUAUGAUCUUAUAGAAUUGCUCUUUGUGCUUCACUUAAACCUUUUGAGAAUGGUUUUAUAGAAUGCUUCGUGUGCUUCACUUACAUAUUUUGAGCUUGGAUAUUAGUUAUUCUAUAUUAAUUGUGGAAUGCUCCAUGAACUUCACUUAUAUAUUUUGGAGUAUGAAUAAGGCUAUCAUCUAAAGUGGGUUUGGAAGAGUGUCAACUUUAGGAAUUAGUGAUCCCACUAUUCCGAAUGAGAAGAAUUUUGUUUAUGUGGAGAGUAGUAAAAUUCCUAUGGUUAUAGAUCAUGAAAAGAAUGCCUUAUGUGAUGGUUAUAUUGUUGAAUUCAUUCAUGAUGCUACUGAAAACUAUUAUGAGGGAGGAAUAUAUGCUUAUAG